This 485-nucleotide ribosomal RNA is filed under the name uncultured Rhodococcus sp. RNAcentral describes it as "bacterial SSU rRNA". It matches the Rfam family "Bacterial small subunit ribosomal RNA", at positions 8 to 507 of the family's 1533-position model. The record is from RNAcentral. Lineage: Bacteria; Bacillati; Actinomycetota; Actinomycetes; Mycobacteriales; Nocardiaceae.
AGAGUUUGAGUCCUGGGCUCGGGACGAACGCUGGCGGCGUGCUUAACACAUGCAAGUCGAGCGGUAAGGCCUUUCGGGGUACACGAGCGGCGAACGGGUGAGUAACACGUGGGUGAUCUGCCCUGCACUCUGGGAUAAGCUUGGGAAACUGGGUCUAAUACCGGAUAUGACCGCAUGCCGCAUGGUGUGUGGUGGAAAGAUUUAUCCGGUGCAGGAUGGGCCCGCGGCCUAUCAGCUUGUUGGUGGGGUAAUGGCCUACCAAGGCGACGACGGGUAGCCGACCUGAGAGGGUGACCGGCCACACUGGGACUGAGACACGGCCCAGACUCCUACGGGAGGCAGCAGUGGGGAAUAUUGCACAAUGGGCGGAAGCCUGAUGCAGCGACGCCGCGUGAGGGAUGAAGGCCUUCGGGUUGUAAACCUCUUUCAGCAGGGACGAAGCGUGAGUGACGGUACCCGCAGAAGAAGCACCGGCUAACUACGUG